Long non-coding RNA from Panicum virgatum (switchgrass), 2043 nucleotides. RefSeq lists it as uncharacterized. The transcript is spliced from 10 exons. NCBI's taxonomy places the organism in Eukaryota, Viridiplantae, Streptophyta, Magnoliopsida, Poales, Poaceae. The record is from RefSeq and is a predicted model, not a curated record.
GAGAUAAGAGCCGUGCCCCUUCCCCCUCCUCUUCCUCCUCUUCCCCCGUUUCUUCUCCCUCUUGCUCUCCUCCUCGUGUUCUUCCUCUCUGCCGACCGCUUUUCCCAUCUGCUCUGCAAUUUGAGAUCUAUGAGCCCAUGUGCCUCUUGUUGUCGCCGAUCUUUCCUUUGCUUGCGCGUUGCUAGAUCCUAGCCUGAUGUCUAUAUUCGUCCUCGUGUUCUGCAGGAGGUGGAUCCGCGAUGGCGCACGUCACCUAGGGUUUCGACCUCGAUCUGCUGGGAGAGGAAGCUGCGUUCGCGUUGGGUUUGCCUGCGCUACAGAUCUUCAAGGCUGCUGCUGCUGGGCACAAGCUGGUCCCUGCUUUGCUUCUGAUGCAGCGUGUUCUUGUGAAAAUGGCUGACCUGCUUCUCCCAAACCUUUUGACUGGGAACUGCAGCGAUCGUGUGUGCGUUCGCGUUUCCAGGUUCUGGAACUUCUAUGACACUAAUAAUGAAACAAAACUCCUUCACGCUGACAUGGUCCUCAUUGAUGAGGAGGGUAAUAGCAUCCAUGCUCAGGUCUAUCCUCCUGCUGAUGAAUUGUUCAAGAACCGCGUCAAGGAAGACGGUGUCUACACUUUCUCCUACUUUCGGGUCAGAGCCUCCAACAUCUACUACAAGCCAGUAGAAAAUGACCAGAUGCUUGUGUUCACAAAAUAGACCAAGGUGGAAGAAGUCCUUGCUGUUCCUCCUGCUUUCCCAAUGUAUGCCUACUCAAUUGCCUCACAAGAACAGCUUCAAGCACGUAUUGACAACAGGGCACAGUUUACAGACGUUAUUGGAGUCAUAACUGCCAUUUCAAAUACUGGAACAACACAAACAAAGCUAAGGCAGGGCGACAACACCAAGAGGACCGUCACUAUACAGACACCAAGCAACAUCCUCUUAGAUGUUGUGCUUUGGUUAGAGCGUGCCACAGCUUUCCUAGCAGAUGAAAUACUCAAAGAUGGCCAGACUUCUCCACAGGUUGUGUUGUUUGUUGGUACUCUUGUCAAAAGCUUUGGAGGUAUGUCCUUGUCCGGGAGUUCGUCUUGCAAGUGGUACAUCAAUCCUGACAUUCCUGACACAAAGAAACUUCUAGCUAGGGUAUAAGCCAAUUGCUUGGUCGGAGAGUUCAAGUGCUGCUGUCCAAAAAGAACCUGCUUAGGAAAAAAAGCUCUCUGAGAUUUUAGAUCUCAAUCCAUUUGAGUUCCAGAAAACUGAGUUUAUAGUCACUGUCGCUGUAAAGAAGAUCGGCAGCAACUGGUGGUACAAUGCAUGCAAAAAAUGCAUGAAGACAGCAAAACGCCAUGGUGAUUCCUACAAGUGCACAAAUGCUAAGUGUAACAACAUUGGGAUACCCAAUCUAAGGUUAGUUAUCUGAAUUUGAACUUCUCAUCCUUCUUGAUCAGAUACUUUCUGUUGCCUAUUCUGAUCUUAGCGUCGAUAGGUUCAAGUUAUCCAUACUAGCUAGUGACGACACAAAUGCGGCUGAGUUCAUUCUGCUUGGGAGGCAAGCUCAGCGACUGACAAGAAAAUCGGCUGAUACCCUUGUGGCUGAAAACCCAACUGACUUCAUUUCAGAUGAGAUUACAAGGCUGCUUGAGAAGACGUUCACAUGGAUAGUCAGUUUUACUGAUAGCACCACAGAUUCUGGCACCAUAACACUCCAAGUCAACACAGUGGUUGGAGAAGUCGGUCAAGGAGGCUCUAUCAUUCCAGCCAUGCCAACCACAUCCCAAAUAUCCUCACUCAUGCUGUCAGAAGGUGCCACCACCAGCGUGCAUGGCGCUUCUCACCAGGGCGCUUCUCACCAGAACCAGGCUCUUCCUAUGUCACCACUUGCUGCGUGCUCUGUUGAUAGCCAUGUCUCCAAUGCCUCCCCGGUCAGGCCUGUCUUACCUGCAUCUGAUGCGCCACAGACUCCACAGAGUGUGAAGAGCACAGCUAAUUACAAGGACAAGUCUGAAAAUCCUGCUGUGAAGCCUUCUAAGAGUGCUCUGGUGCCACAGAAGACAUCCACUAG